RNAcentral lists this ribosomal RNA (936 nucleotides) under uncultured organism. Its description in RNAcentral is "bacterial SSU rRNA". It matches the Rfam family "Bacterial small subunit ribosomal RNA", at positions 51 to 1034 of the family's 1533-position model. The record is from RNAcentral.
ACACAUGCAGUCGAACGCAACUUCGGGUGAGUGGCGGACGGGUGAGUAACGCGUGAGAUCUGCCUUGGGGUCGGGGACACCACUGGAAACGGUGGCUAAUACCGGAUAAGCCUUUGGGUAAAAAAUUUAUUGCCCCAAGAGGAGCUCGCGUCUGAUUAGCUAGUUGGUGAGGUAAAAGCUCACCAAGGCAGCGAUCAGUAGCUGGUCUGAGAGGACGAUCAGCCACACUGGGACUGAGACACGGCCCAGACUCCUACGGGAGGCAGCAGUGGGGAAUUUUCCGCAAUGGGCGAAAGCCUGACGGAGCAAGACCGCGUGAGGGAGGAAGGCUCUUGGGUUGUAAACCUCUUUUCUCAGGGAAGAAGCUCUGACGGCACCUGAGGAAUCAGCCUCGGCUAACUCCGUGCCAGCAGCCGCGGUAAUACGGAGGAGGCAAGCGUUAUCCGGAAUUAUUGGGCGUAAAGCGUCCGCAGGUGGCGAUUCAAGUCUGCUGUCAAAGCACGGGGCUUAACUCCGUUAAGGCAGUGGAAACUGAAUAGCUAGAGUGCCGUAGGGGUAGAGGGAAUUCCCGGUGUAGCGGUGAAAUGCGUAGAGAUCGGGAAGAACAUCGGUGGCGAAAGCGCUCUACUGGACGGCAACUGACACUCAGGGACGAAAGCUAGGGGAGCGAAUGGGAUUAGAUACCCCAGUAGUCCUAGCUGUAAACGAUGGAUACUAGGUGUAGCUUGUAUCGACCCGAGCUGUGCCGAAGCUAACGCGUUAAGUAUCCCGCCUGGGGAGUACGCACGCAAGUGUGAAACUCAAAGGAAUUGACGGGGGCCCGCACAAGCGGUGGAGUAUGUGGUUUAAUUCGAUGCAACGCGAAGAACACUUACCAGGGCUUGACUAUGUCCGGAGUCCCGGUGAAAGCUGGGAGUGCAUUCGGGAGCCGGAACA